ACAUAAAAUACUGAAUAUUAGGAAUAUUAGGAAAAUCAAACAUGCAGUCAAAAAUUAAUUACAAAAUUCUUAGCGUUUGAAAACAUGUACAGACUACAAUUAUAGCCUUAUUAUUGGUUUGGAUUAAUUCCUGCAGUGGAGAGUAUACAGGAGAUAAAAACCGGUUCUGAGAUAUUUGUCAACUAUCAGUACACAUUUGAUGAUGCACCUCCAUGGUAUCGAGAGGCAUGUACAGAAAACAUAAUCAGGAGUUACAGAGAUUCAAAACUAGAGUUGGCUUGGGACUCUUUCAGGGGCUAAUGAAGAAGCAAAUGAUUCGUUGUACAUUUCGAUUUCCAUUGAAAUUUAAGGUUAACCAAUAACGUUGAAACCUAUAGAACUGGUAAUUCUUGUGGAUAUCGAUCUAGAUCUUCUGUUAAUCUAAUCUUCAUCCGAUAUCCCAUAUGGUAUUUGUACAGUGUACACAGUCAGGGGACCUUCUAAUGACCUCUUACGACCUCUAAUGACCUCCAAAAAUGAA
Eurytemora carolleeae is the source of this 520-nucleotide long non-coding RNA. RefSeq lists it as uncharacterized. The transcript is spliced from 4 exons. The record is from RefSeq and is a predicted model, not a curated record. Lineage: Eukaryota; Metazoa; Arthropoda; Copepoda; Calanoida; Temoridae.